RNAcentral lists this ribosomal RNA (423 nucleotides) under uncultured Barnesiella sp. Its description in RNAcentral is "bacterial SSU rRNA". It matches the Rfam family "Bacterial small subunit ribosomal RNA", at positions 355 to 794 of the family's 1533-position model. The record is from RNAcentral. Lineage: Bacteria; Pseudomonadati; Bacteroidota; Bacteroidia; Bacteroidales; Barnesiellaceae.
UGGGGAAUAUUGGGCAAUGGGGGAAACCCUGACCCAGCAACGCCGCGUGAGGGAAGAAGGCCCUCGGGUUGUAAACCUCUUUUACCAGGGACGAAGGACGUGACGGUACCUGGAGAAAAAGCAACGGCUAACUCCGUGCCAGCAGCCGCGGUAAUACGGAGGAUGCGAGCGUUAUCCGGAUUUAUGGGUUUAAAGGGUGCGUAGGCGGACUUUCAAGUCAGCGGUAAAAUUUCCGGGCUUAACCUGGUUGUGCCGUUGAAACUGAGAGACUGGAGUGCGCUUGAGGUAGGCGGAAUGCGUUGUGUAGCGGUGAAAUGCAUAGAUAUGACGCAGAACUCCGAUUGCGAAGGCAGCUUACCAAAUCGCUACUGACGCUGAGGCACGAAAGCGUGGGGAUCGAACAGGAUUAGAUACCCUGGUAGU